This 72-nucleotide transfer RNA is filed under the name Pectinatus cerevisiiphilus. It matches the Rfam family "tRNA". Rfam says of the family: Transfer RNA (tRNA) molecules are approximately 80 nucleotides in length. Their secondary structure includes four short double-helical elements and three loops (D, anti-codon, and T loops). The record is from Rfam by way of RNAcentral. Lineage: Bacteria; Bacillati; Bacillota; Negativicutes; Selenomonadales; Selenomonadaceae.
GCGGAAGUAGCUCAGUGGUAGAGCAUCACCUUGCCAAGGUGGGGGUCGCGAGUUCGAAUCUCGUCUUCCGCU